This 78-nucleotide small nuclear RNA is filed under the name Erinaceus europaeus (western European hedgehog). Lineage: Eukaryota; Metazoa; Chordata; Mammalia; Eulipotyphla; Erinaceidae. The record is from RNAcentral.
GGAACAGGCUUCGGCCUACAACACACAUACAGUUAGGCGCAUUGCCACAUAUUUUGUGGCAUCUAACUGCUGUUUUUA